RNAcentral lists this ribosomal RNA (252 nucleotides) under uncultured bacterium. Its description in RNAcentral is "partial 16S ribosomal RNA". It matches the Rfam family "Bacterial small subunit ribosomal RNA", at positions 524 to 776 of the family's 1533-position model. The record is from RNAcentral.
UACGGAGGGUGCAAGCGUUAUCCGGAUUCACUGGGUUUAAAGGGUGCGUAGGUGGGUCUGUAAGUCAGUGGUGAAAUCUCCAAGCUUAACUUGGAACUGCCGUUGAUACUAUAGAUCUUGAAUGCUGUGGAGGUGAGCGGAAUAUGUCAUGUAGCGGUGAAAUGCUUAGAUAUGACAUAGAACACCAAUUGCGAAGGCAGCUCACUACCCAGAUAUUGACACUGAGGCACGAAAGCGUGGGGAUCAAACAGG